RNAcentral lists this ribosomal RNA (429 nucleotides) under uncultured prokaryote. Its description in RNAcentral is "bacterial SSU rRNA". It matches the Rfam family "Bacterial small subunit ribosomal RNA", at positions 355 to 776 of the family's 1533-position model. RNAcentral also lists the same sequence under 1 other name. The record is from RNAcentral.
UGGGGAAUCUUGCGCAAUGCGCGAAAGCGUGACGCAGCAACGCCGCGUGGGGGAAGACGGCCUUCGGGUUGUAAACCCCUUUCAGGAGGGACGAAGGUUCACCGGUGAAUAGCCGUGUGGAUUGACGGUACCUCCACAAGAAGGUCCGGCUAACUACGUGCCAGCAGCCGCGGUAAUACGUAGGGACCAAGCGUUGUCCGGAAUCAUUGGGCGUAAAGCGCGCGUAGGUGGCCAUUUAAGUCCGCUGUGAAAGUCAAAGGCUCAACCUUUGAAAGCCGGUGGAUACUGGGUGGCUAGAGUACGGAAGAGGCGAGUGGAAUUCCUGGUGUAGCGGUGGAAUGCGCAGAUAUCAGGAGGAACACCAGUGGCGAAGGCGGCUUACUGGACUGUAACUGACGCUGAGGCUCGAAAGCGUGGGGAGCAAACAGG